Molecule: ribosomal RNA, 497 nt
Filed under: uncultured bacterium
Lineage: Bacteria
Description: partial 16S ribosomal RNA
Rfam family: Bacterial small subunit ribosomal RNA
Source: RNAcentral
GAUGAACGCUGGCGGCGUGCCUAAUACAUGCAAGUCGAGCGAACAGACGAUGAGCUUGCUCCUCUGACGUUAGCGGCUGACGGGUGAGUAACACGUGGAUAACCUACCUAUAAGACUGGGAUAACUUCGGGAAACCGGAGCUAAUACCGUAUAAUAUAUUGAACCUCAUUGUUCAAUAGUAAAAGACGGUUUUGCUGUCACGUAUAGAUGGAUCCGCGCCGCAUUAGCUAGUUGGUAAGGUGACGGUUUACCAAGGCAACGAGGCGUAGCCGACCUGAGAGGGUGAUCGGCCACCCUGGAAAUGAGACAGGGUCAAGACUCCUACGGGAGGCAGCAGUAGGGAAUCUUCCGCAAUGGGCGAAAGCCUGACGGAGAAACGCCGCGUGAGUGAUGAAGGUCUUCGGAUCGUAAAACUCUGUUAUUAGGGAAGAACAAAUGUGGAAGUAAAUGUGCACGUCUUGACGGUACCUAAUCAGAAAGCCACGGCUAACUACGUG